GACGAACGCUGGCGGCGUGCUUAACACAUGCAAGUCGAACGCUGAAGCUUGGUGCUUGCGCUGUGUGGAUGAGUGGCGAACGGGUGAGUAAUACGUGAGUAACCUGCUCUUGACUCUGGGAUAAGCCUGGGAAACUGGGUCUAAUACUGGAUACGACAUGCCACUGCAUGGUGGUGUGUGGAAAGGGUUUUACUGGUUUUGGAUGGGCUCACGGCCUAUCAGCUUGUUGGUGGGGUAAUGGCCUACCAAGGCGACGACGGGUAGCCGGCCUGAGAGGGUGACCGGCCACACUGGGACUGAGACACGGCCCAGACUCCUACGGGAGGCAGCAGUGGGGAAUAUUGCACAAUGGGCGGAAGCCUGAUGCAGCGACGCCGCGUGAGGGAUGACGGCCUUCGGGUUGUAAACCUCUUUCAGCACGGAAGAAGCGAGAGUGACGGUACGUGCAGAAGAAGCGCCGGCUAACUACGUG
RNAcentral lists this ribosomal RNA (472 nucleotides) under uncultured bacterium. RNAcentral describes it as "partial 16S ribosomal RNA". It matches the Rfam family "Bacterial small subunit ribosomal RNA", at positions 28 to 507 of the family's 1533-position model. The record is from RNAcentral.